Molecule: ribosomal RNA, 253 nt
Filed under: uncultured bacterium
Lineage: Bacteria
Description: partial 16S ribosomal RNA
Rfam family: Bacterial small subunit ribosomal RNA
Source: RNAcentral
UACGUAGGGCGCAAGCGUUGUCCGGAAUCAUUGGGCGUAAAGAGCUCGUAGGCGGCCUGUUGCGUCCGCUGUGAAAUCCCGGGGCUUAACCCCGGGCAUGCAGUGGAUACGGGCUGGCUGGAGGCAGGCAGGGGAGAACGGAAUUCCCGGUGUAGCGGUGGAAUGCGUAGAGAUCCGGAAGAACACCAGUGGCGAAGGCGGCCCGCUGGGCAGUGGCUGACGCUGAGGCGCGACAGCGUGGGGAGCAAACAGG